GGACGUUUAGCUCAGUUGGUAGAGCGUUCCCUUCACACGGGAGAGGUCACAGGUUCGAGUCCUGUAACGUCCACCA
RNAcentral lists this transfer RNA (76 nucleotides) under Minisyncoccota bacterium. Its description in RNAcentral is "tRNA-Val". It matches the Rfam family "tRNA". Rfam says of the family: Transfer RNA (tRNA) molecules are approximately 80 nucleotides in length. Their secondary structure includes four short double-helical elements and three loops (D, anti-codon, and T loops). The record is from RNAcentral. Lineage: Bacteria; Bacillati; Minisyncoccota.